GAUGAAGAACGUAGCGAAUUGCGAUAAGUAAUGUGAAUUGCAGAAUUACGUGAAUCAUCGAAUUUUUGAACGCAAAUUGCACUCUUUUCGGAGAGUAUGCCUGUUUGAGGGUCAGUAAAAAAAAAAUUAUCAUGAUACUUUUUUUGAAUCAUGGAAUUGGAUCCUUUCAAAGGUUUUUUUUUCCUUUGAUGAUCUCAAAUUUAUGUUUAAAGGGCUAUAUUAAAUUGAACUAAAAAGAGCAAUUAUAUUUAUUAAAUAAUAUUAUCUCGAAUUUUAGUGAUAUUUAUUUAGUCAAAUUUUAUGAUUUUUUAGCAUUUUAUUUAUGAUAAAAUUCAUAAAAUUAUUUUUAACAUUUGACCUCAAAUCAGGUAAGAAUACCCGCUGAACUUAAGCAUAUCAAUAAGCGGAGGA
RNAcentral lists this unclassified non-coding RNA (411 nucleotides) under soil metagenome. Its description in RNAcentral is "partial contains 5.8S ribosomal RNA, internal transcribed spacer 2, and large subunit ribosomal RNA". The stretch from base 1 to 114 matches the Rfam family "5.8S ribosomal RNA", at positions 35 to 154 of the family's 154-position model. The record is from RNAcentral.